UGCUUUUCUUCAGAAGUUGUGUAAGCCU
This 28-nucleotide non-coding RNA is filed under the name Mus musculus (house mouse). The record is from RNAcentral. Lineage: Eukaryota; Metazoa; Chordata; Mammalia; Rodentia; Muridae.